Molecule: ribosomal RNA, 55 nt
Filed under: Frankliniella occidentalis (western flower thrips)
Lineage: Eukaryota; Metazoa; Arthropoda; Insecta; Thysanoptera; Thripidae
Description: partial 5.8S ribosomal RNA
Source: RNAcentral
UGUGAAGCGCAACACACAUGCACAUUCACAACUAGAACGCACAUUGCGCCCAUAG